Molecule: RNA transcript, 1565 nt
Organism: Crotalus tigris (Tiger rattlesnake)
Lineage: Eukaryota; Metazoa; Chordata; Lepidosauria; Squamata; Viperidae
Gene: TMEM25
Gene name: transmembrane protein 25
Exons: 9
Source: RefSeq, a predicted model, not a curated record
GAGCCCCUCCCGCCUCGCAGCCCAGGAUGGACGCGGCUCCGGGUCCCGCAGUGAGAGGCGCGCCGCCCCCCGAAGCCUGGCUGCUCUGCCCGGGGCGCCCCUUCCUGUCCCCCCGCCGGCGCCGGAGAAGCGACUCGGUGCCCGGGAGCUCCUCGCCCGCGCGGUUGCUGCUGCUGCUGCCGUUCCUGCUGCGGCGCGCCACACCAGGUGCGGUGGCGACGUCGGAGACCAGGAUCGACGGGCGGGCCCUGUCGGUGAGCAGCUUGCGGGAGGCCGAGAGCCGCGCCUUCACCUGCCUGGCGGCGGCCCCCAACCUCACCUGGUACCUCAACGGAGAGCGGCAGGAGACGAACUCAUCCGGGGGGGGCCUGGCCGCGGCCGGCGACGGCUUGGGGGAGGGCGGCAGCGGCACUUUCGUGGUCACGGCGCGGCGCGUGGACCACCGGCUGGACUGCGACGCCACCGACCCGGCCCCGGGGCGCGUCUCCACCGCCUCGGUCCUCCUCAACGUGCAGUUUCAGCCCGAAAUCGUGAAGGUGGACGCUCAUUACCGCGAGGCGAGCGAGCCCGGCCUCCUGCUGGUGCUCUUCGUGCUGGUCCAAGCCAACCCGCCGGCCGACGUGACCUGGGUGGACCAGGACGGGCAGGUGACGGUCAACGCCUCCCGCUUCCUGCUGCUCGACACCCAGACCUAUCCCUGGCUCGCCAACCACACCGUGAGAGUGCAGCUGCACAGCCCGCCCCGGAACGCCUCCCUCCGCGCCUCCAACGGUCUGGGUGUCGCCAGCUCCUCCGUUCCGCUCCCCGAUUUCCUGGCCACCCAGCUUGAACUGCCUCUGGUGGCCCUUGUGGGGGCAGCUACUGUGGCUCUGGUGAUACUGCUGAGUUUUGGGGUGCUAAUCAGUUGGGCUGUUUCCCAACUGAAGCCCAAAAAGUCAGCAGGACAUGGCCUAGCAGUGCAGCUUCCUCUGAGCAAUGUCCUUCAGCCGAAGGAAGCCCAUAUGACACGGGCAAACAGGUCUCUCCCUUCGGACCUGAAACUCAACGAUCUUGUACCAGAACCAAAAACCCUCUUUCCCACUACUUCAAAGGUAGAGCGAAUAGUGCUCCUGCAGAACAAGAUGAAGAUGCUAUUUCGGACCCAAACAAUCACCCGGUCCUUGCUGAACAAGGUUUGGGCCAAUUUCUUACCGUUGGAUAUAUUUAUAGAGCCACUAGUAUGAGUAGCGAUGAAAUCUGGCUGUGAAGUCUGUCACCGUGUCCAUCCCCAGCACAGCAAGAGAGCAAAACAGGCAUCCAGCAGCUGCCCUGCUUCUCCGUCCAACCUGAAGACUGUCUUCCUAACCUGGCCUUUGCCAUCCGCAGACCGGGAAAGCUAUCGCCAUGCACAUCUCAGCCCAGGAUUGCAGCUUUGCAACUUCUAUGCUUAAAGAAUAAAUGACUGUGGUUAAGGUGUUGCCCUUUCCUUCCCCCUGCCUGGAUUUGCCUGCGAGGCUGCUAUGAAAAGGACUCUCAAUCACUCAGUCCCCGGGAUGUAAAAGAAGCCCAAUAAACCCAGGCACGUA